UAGGGAAUCUUCCACAAUGGACGAAAGUCUGAUGGAGCAGCGCCGCGUGAGUGAAGAAGGUUUUCGGAUCGUAAAGCUCUGUUGUUGGUGAAGAAGGAUAGAGGCAGUAACUGGUCUUUAUUUGACGGUAAUCAACCAGAAAGUCACGGCUAACUACGUGCCAG
This 164-nucleotide ribosomal RNA is filed under the name uncultured bacterium. RNAcentral describes it as "partial 16S rRNA". It matches the Rfam family "Bacterial small subunit ribosomal RNA", at positions 355 to 511 of the family's 1533-position model. The record is from RNAcentral.